Molecule: long non-coding RNA, 106 nt
Organism: Etheostoma cragini (Arkansas darter)
Lineage: Eukaryota; Metazoa; Chordata; Actinopteri; Perciformes; Percidae
Exons: 3
Source: RefSeq, a predicted model, not a curated record
AAAUAUGCACAAACAAGUGGCUUGUUUGGUGCGUGUUUUUCCAUGUAGCUCCCAGUCUCGGCCCCCGUGUCGCUAGCAGAUGGGUCUCUCUCUGUGUAGUCAGCCA